Molecule: RNA transcript, 4871 nt
Organism: Amphibalanus amphitrite
Lineage: Eukaryota; Metazoa; Arthropoda; Thecostraca; Balanomorpha; Balanidae
Gene name: nascent polypeptide-associated complex subunit alpha, muscle-specific form-like
Exons: 7
Source: RefSeq, a predicted model, not a curated record
GACACGUCGGACUGGACGGGUGCCGGCGUCGGACAGAUCACGUGACCGGGUGCUAGGCGCCUGCGACGCGUCGCGGUCUCCAGGCCGGCGCGGCGGCCGUGCGCGAGUUGUGCGCGACGAGGCGAGGCGUGCGGUUUGCGAAGGCGGUGAGGUCCGAGUGAGGUAGCUGCUCAUCUCCGUGAAUGGAUCCGAGUGUAUCGAUCAGCGGUAUGAAGUGCACGUAGCGAAUGUGUCCAGAUCUACCAAGUUCGCCGGCUGCAAUUUGUGGCGGAGUGGCCAUAGCUCGGCUAUCGUGGGUAGUGAGCUGCUCGGCUGUACCGACGACUCUGAUUGGUCGCUGUGGUUGAAACACCGACGAUGAUUGGCCGGCCGGCGCCAAGCGCGGCUGCGAUUGGCCCGAGCGCGGUGGAGGAGCUGGUCGAGGCAGCGCUGACCGGCGCCGUCGCAUUGUUGUUGUGGACGGGGUUGAGGCGCGUGGUUGGGGUCGCUGCGCCCGUGCUGUGGAGCCGCGCUCGACGACUGGUGAGUUUCAAACCCAGUCACCAGACGGGAGACUCGCCUCUCUCCGACGAAGCGACCACCUCCGCCGACGACACUACCGAUCGGGUCGUCGGCUCGGCCCAGCCAGUCAUGUGCAGCGUCGCAGGGUCGCGCGAACCCGCGGCGAGUGGCGCAGCGGCGGCAGUGGACGGUGGUCGGCCGCCGGACAGGGAUGGAGCGACGCAGGCCAGGCCCGUGUUCGAGGCGCAGGGAGUCAGCUUUGGCGACGGAGUGGUGAUCUCUGACGAGGGAGUGACGAGUGGAGUGUUGGAUCAGAACGGAGUGACGAUGAGUGAAGCCGGAGUGGGCCAGAGUGUGCCCACGAACGUGCAGUGUAGAACUGAUGGCGUUGGCUGUGAUACAGACGUUGCGGACGAUGCUGUGGUACCGCGGACAGAGCAGGACUGUGACAGUGACGUUUCGGACGAGGUGAACCCGUGUAAUCAGACGUUCUAUAGCGAGGGUGAUGGCGAAGAUGCCGAUGCCGAAAGCGACGAGAACGAGUAUGACCUCGGGGAGAACCAGCCGGAGCAGGACGACGAUUACGACGACUGGUUCGCCGUCUCCAACGACGACGAAAUUCGAACGAUUGCCACUGCCGACCUGCAGCCGUUCUAUGAAGAGGCGGGCUCGGCCGAGCCGGGUCGCCGGCCCGCCGCCAUGUUCCACCUGGCCGGAGACCUGGGCUCGGAGCCAGACUUCAUCGAAGGCUACAGCUGCCUGGAGACCAUCGUCGAAGAGAAUUCCGACGAUAUGCGCAGCGACAGCGACAGCUUGCGCUCUGGUCCGGCCAGCCGGGACUGGUCUGAGGACUCGGACGGCCAGGACGGGACUACCUCUCCGUCUGCACUGACCGCCGGCCCGCCGGGCUGGACCUGGUGCCUGGAGCCGUCCGACUCGACCGGCGCCGCCGACGACUGGGGCUCAGAAGAGGAGUGCGAGCCGAAGCCACGAGUGCGGCGGGCCUCAGCCGGUGACGAGCUGCUGGAGGCAGACGGACUCGGCCGCGGUGGACUGAUGAGCUGGGACCAGCCGCUCACCAAGUCCUGUGUCGGAGCACCACUGUUCAGCGAACUGCCGCCAGCCCGGCCGCUGGCCGCCACCACCAGCGCCGCCUGGCGUCAGUCUCCCGAACUGCUGUCGCAGAUGGCGCCGCUGUCGCACAGUGACUUCCGAGGCCACCACUGGCGCGUGGACAAUGAACCAAUCAGUGCGGAACUGAGCUGCGCCGGCCCCGGCGGUCGGCGGCACAGCGACCCUGGCACCUUUGGCGGCCGUAUCGGUCUGCCGGUGACCCUCGCUGAGCCGUCUGACGGACGGGACGACCGCCCAGUGACCGGCGGCCGGCCCGUGUCACCGCAGGGUCACCGGAGGUCACCGGAGCGGCCGGCUCCCACGCCGCGCUCGGUCACCGGCGGUGGGAGCGACGCGCCGGCCAUCGGUCACGACCCAACGACCGGGGGUUUGGGAGCGGCACACAACGCUCAAUUGGCGGCCAGCACAGCGGAAAGGUGCGCCGUCAGUUCUGAGCGCGCGGCGGUGACAUCAACACCCACCGGCGCGCGCGGUGGCACUGAGGUGCCCAAGGCGACGGCGGACGGACGCGUGCCGACCGCCGCCGACCCCAAGUGGGACCUGGGCAGCUGUGAGGACUUUGAGAACCUGGACCGUCGGAUCGAGUCUUUGACGUUCGACUUUGAGGAGGAGGAGAGGACGCUACAGACUUUGGAGAGCCUGGAGUCGGCUACAGACGUGCAGCGGCGGCGCUACCAGCGGCUCUCCAGCUCCAGACAGGCGUCUACUGAGGAGCCAAACCAGCUCUGUGAGCCGGUAAGGCGCUUCCAUAGCUCCGGUGACCUGACCAUGAUCGGUGAUGAUGCCCGCUCCGAGCGGCCGGCCGCGCGACGCGGCGCCACCAAAACGACUCAAAUCGACGGCGACUCGAACUCGGCGCAGCGCAGCAGACGAACAUCAGUACUCCAGAGACGACCGUGCCGCGGCCGCACGCGCGUGUCGAGCUCCUGCGCCACUCCAGUGAGAACCUCAGCGAGGACUCUGGGUUCGGUGAGCAGACGGUGGGGGCGCGCAGCUCCUCUGAGGCCAGCUCACCGCCGCCGAGCCUGUCUCUCACCACACCACGAGAGGAGAGCUCAGGUCAGCCGGAGACGGCGCCCAGCCGGCUCAGCCGCCGGUCUCAGUCCACACCGGACCUGAGCCCGAGCGCCCAGCGCCGCCGCCGACUGCUCGAGCUCAUCGGACGCGACGAGCGGCGUCGGGCGCGGGUGUACCUGGACGCCGCGGCGUCCGACGCCCGGGACGCCGCCGGGCUGGACGCCGCGGCCCAGCCGACGGUCCCCCGGCGGCAGCUCAGUCUGGAGACGGCGGCUGGGGUGUCCAAGGAGCGCCCUGUACCGGCGCCGCGCUCCGCCCCGCCCAAACCGGCGGCCGUGUAUCAGAACGUGCCGCCCAACGCCUGGCUGGCAGCGCUGGCGGCUGGUGACGGCAAGGAGGCUGUACGCCGCACCACACAGCCGCCCGAGAAUCAGCUGAUGCGCGGCGGCGAGGCGGCGCGCCAGCUGAGCCGACAUGAACUGCGCUUCCAGCGCUCCCUGCGGAACCUGCACACCCCGGAGUGGUACAGGAGGGCGGCCGUGGCACCGACGGCCGCGCUCAGAAGGAACCUGGACACCGCCUCACUGCAGGGCGGCUGGUCCGGGCUCAGCUCCAAGUCAAACUCCAAGGAGAGCCUACCCACCAGCUCAGCGGCCACCCCCACACCGGUGCCGCGGCGCGGCGACUGGCGCUCGUUCCGUGCCGCCCGUGAGACCGCCUCUGUACCGGGCACGGCCUCUGCCUCUCCUGUACCGCUGUACCGACGGGCCUCUGCGGGCAGCGCGCGCCGGCCGGGGCCUCCCCCGACGGGCGCCCCCGCCGUGACGGCUACACAGAGUCUGCGUCGGCCCUACCUGGGCUGGCGUAGUCAGGAGAGGCUUACCAGACAGGGCUACCAGACGCCCGUUGAGAGACUGGCCAGCAGCUUCCGCGGCACUCCUGGUGUGCGGAGACAGGUGGCGCCACCAGAGCAGUCACCGGCCAGCGCCGACCCUGCGCGGCCCCCGCCGCCGACCGAUGAUGUGAAAACGUCCAUUAGAGAAGUUUCUGAUGCAAUUGUACAUUAUUUCGAUCCUGAUGUUCAGGGCCAGAACGGUCGGAUGGAAUCACCGGCAACGGCGCGGACGGCGAGGGAAGAAUCGCCCUCAAAGCACCGUGCCAUGUGGCUGGAGACUGCGUUCGUCGGUAACCGGCCGGCAGAGGGCUCUGGCGAGCCGACAAAAGGUGGCAGCACUAUCGACCGACUGCUGGCGCCCAGCGACGCGAGGAAGGAGCGGUUCGAGCUGGGUGAGUUUGUCGCAGUCUGACGCGGCCGCUGACCGUCUAGCUGUGAUCGCGGCAGCUGCCUUCUCUUUGUGCCCUGCUUCACCGUGUGCUUUCGCUUCCGCUUCGUCGGCAGUGUGCCUGGCAGCGUCGCCCGCCGGCUGCUGCCGGGCCCGCUCCCUCGGCGGCGUCCGCUUUAGCUGUGUGUUUGCACCUCUAUCGCUGCCCUGUCUGCCUGCCUGUAUCGUUUGUGAUAGGCCGGCUGUCUCCCUUAUGAGCACCGGCCGAAAGUGUGUGACUGCCGUGGUCGUGCUAUCUGUGCUGGUGACCCAUCUGGGCACGCACUACGACGUUUGAAUGGUUCCAAAGUAUCAAGUCCGGGCUAUUGUUUGACGCGAGUUUUUCUGUGGUAGCCAUAAUUCGUGGACGUGGAAGGAGCAAGUCGGCUGACUUGGCACAUAGGUGAUGCGUUUGUUAUUGAAGAACGCUUGUAGUAAAUAUUGUAAGCACUGCGAUGCGUGAUGCGGACUGUGACAACCGAUAUGUAUUGUGUAUAUAGGUAUAUAUUUUACGUUUGUAUUAUCUCGGCAGCCGCAUUAUAUAUAAUUGGCACCAGUAAAGAUCUCCCGGGCUUUUCUCACUCAGAUGCUAGGCUAUUUUUAUGUAGAGCUCUUUGAUUUGGUAGUUACAUGCACACGUUAACACAAGUAACACUGGUUAAAGUGUUUUGACGUAUCCUCUUACACUCAAAACAUACACCCACCAACAUAUAAAUACGUAAACGUCUAGUUACUUCCCCUUCUACCAAUGAACACACUGGUUAUUCUUCCGCUUUGUGAAAUCCUAGGUGCGGGUUUAAUGGUUAUUCACGACACUGACUGCUGUGCGUAUGCGUCUCCACCCGUGGAUAUUCAACUGAAGUGUUUGUUUUCUAAAUAAAUGAUGAGAGUGGCCAA